Molecule: non-coding RNA, 191 nt
Organism: Arachis ipaensis
Lineage: Eukaryota; Viridiplantae; Streptophyta; Magnoliopsida; Fabales; Fabaceae
Source: RefSeq, a predicted model, not a curated record
CGCCGACUACCAGUAGUCACGAAGGAGUGGUAUUCUUAACCACCGACACGUAUGCACGAAGGACACAAAGGGAAACCAUAUCUGGGACUUGUUCCGAGGUAAUGUUGAGUUGCAGGGUGUAAACUGACAUGUGAGCUCAUGGCCUGCAUAGAACAAACAUGCAUCAUACUUGUUGUGUAUUUGCAUUUGAU